RNAcentral lists this ribosomal RNA (440 nucleotides) under uncultured bacterium. Its description in RNAcentral is "bacterial SSU rRNA". It matches the Rfam family "Bacterial small subunit ribosomal RNA", at positions 338 to 769 of the family's 1533-position model. The record is from RNAcentral.
CCUACGGGAGGCUGCAGUCGAGAGGCUUCGGCAAUGGGGGAAACCCUGACCGAGCGACGCCGCGUGAGGGAUGAAGGCCCUUGGGUUGUAAACCUCUUUUGUUCGGGAAGAAGUGCGAUCAGGUGAACAAUCUGGUCGUUUGACGGUACCGGACGAAUAAGCUCCGGCUAACUCCGUGCCAGCAGCCGCGGUAACACGGGGGGAGCAAGCGUUGUUCGGAAUCACUGGGCGUAAAGGGCGUGUAGGCGGUCCGGUUAGUGAGAUGUGAAAUCCCUCGGCUCACCCGAGGACCUGCAUCUCAAACUGCCUGACUCGAGUACGGGAGAGGAUGUGGGAAUUCCUGGUGUAGCGGUGAAAUGCGUAGAUAUCAGGAGGAACACCGGUGGCGAAAGCGCACAUCUGGCCCGAUACUGACGCUGAGGCGCGAAAGCUAGGGGAGC